Molecule: long non-coding RNA, 8110 nt
Filed under: Triticum aestivum (bread wheat)
Lineage: Eukaryota; Viridiplantae; Streptophyta; Magnoliopsida; Poales; Poaceae
Description: long non-coding RNA (TAES_LNC007415)
Source: RNAcentral
UUACAUCAACAUUACAUAAUAGAUGGGGAUACAUACAUAAGGCAUACAAUGCCACACGAAUACAACAUUACAAUACAUAAGAGCAUCAUCCGUCUACAGAUGAAUCACAAACAGAAACUCAAACGACAUCCACCCUGCUAGCCCAGGCUGCCGACCUGGAACCUAUCCCCUGAUUGAAGAAGCAGAAGAAGAACUCAAUGCAAGCAAGCAUCGCUCUCGCGUCAUGAUCAUCGCAUAAACCUGUACCUGCAACUGUUGUUGUAGUAAUCUGUGAGCCACGAGGACUCAGCAAUCCCAUUACCAUGGGUAUCAAGACUAGCAAAGCUUAAAGGGAAAGGAAGGGGUAAAGUGGUGAGGCUGCAGCAGCGACUAAGCAUAUAUGGUGGCUACCAUACGCAAAUAAGAGCGAGAAGAGAGCAAGGAGAACGGUCGUCAACUAAUAAUGAUCAAGAAGUGAUCCUGAACUCCUACUUACGUCAAACAUAACCCAGAAACCGUGUUCACUUCCUGGACUCCGCCGAAAAGAGACCAUCACGGCUACACACGCGGUUGAUGCGUUUUAAUUCGGAUCUGGUGUCAAGUUAUCUACAACCGGACAUUAACAAAUUCCCAUCUGCCUAUAACCGCAGGCACGGCUUUCGAAAGAUUAUACCCUGUAGGGGUGUCCCAACUUAGCCCAUGACAAGCUCUCGCGAUCAACGAAGGAAUAGACCUUCUCCCAGGAAGACCCGAUCAGACUCAGAAUCCCGGUUUACAAGACAUUUCGACAAUGGUAAAACAAGACCAGCAAAGCCUCCCGCUGUGCCGACAAAUCCCGAUAGGAGCUGCACAUAUCUCAUUCUCAGGGCACACCGGAUUGUCCAGACUUCCGGUAGGCCAGCCCAGAGUUGCCCCUGGUGGCCACCGGCGGCCGACAGUUUGGACNNNNNNNNNNNNNNNNNNNNNNNNNNNNNNNNNNNNNNNNNNNNNNNNNNNNNNNNNNNNNNNNNNNNNNNNNNNNNNNNNNNNNNNNNNNNNNNNNNNNNNNNNNNNNNNNNNNNNNNNNNNNNNNNNNNNNNNNNNNNNNNNNNNNNNNNNNNNNNNNNNNNNNNNNNNNNNNNNNNNNNNNNNNNNNNNNNNNNNNNNNNNNNNNNNNNNNNNNNNNNNNNNNNNNNNNNNNNNNNNNNNNNNNNNNNNNNNNNNNNNNNNNNNNNNNNNNNNNNNNNNNNNNNNNNNNNNNUCGGGCUCCGGAAACCAAGGGAAAAAGGGCUAGGUGAGGCAAAUGGUAAAACCAAGGUUGGGCCUUGCUGGAGGAGUUUUAUUCAAAGAAAACUGUCAAGGGGGUCCCAUAAAUCACCCGACCGCGUAAGGAACGCAAAAUCCGGGAACAUAACACCGGUAUGACAGAAACUAGAGUGGCAAGAGUGGAACAAAACACUAGGCAAAAGGCCGAGUCUUCCACCCUUUACCAAGUAUAUAGAUGCAUUAAUAAUAUAAGAGAUAUUGUGAUAUCCCAACCAAAAUCAUGUCCACCAUGGAGAAAUCUUCAACUUCACCUGCAACUACCAACGCUAUAAGAGGGCUGAGCAAAGCGGUAACAUAGCCAAUCAAUGGUUUGCAUAGGUAAGGUGUCAAAGGUUAGAGGUUCAUGGCAACAAGGGAUGGCUCGAUAAACAGAUGAUAGGUAGCACAACAAAGCGAUAGAACGAAGCAACUAGCAUAGCAAUGAUAGUAGUGAGAUCCAGGGUAGCGGUCAUCUUGCCUGAAAUCCCGCAAGGAAGAAGUACGAGUCCAUGAAGAAGACGAACGGGAGCAGUCGAUGAAUCCUCACAAUCGCAACAUUACCGGAACUAAGAAGCAACACCGAAAAGAAACAAACAACAUGGUAAACACACAAGCAUAAACAUGGCAUGAUGCACAAACAAGUAUGAUGCAUGUCCGGUUUAAUGAGGCAUGGCAUGGCAAGUGCAACAAACAAUACUACAAGUUAAGUGGAGCUCAAUAUGCAACGAGUUGCAUAUUGACGAAACACCACAUCAAUUAUUUAGUUGAUCUCGUUUAAGCUACCAAACAAUAUUAAAUGUUGUUAAACAUGGCAAGAGGUAAAGCAUAAUGAAACUACCUAUCUAGGCAAGUUUGAAUGAGGCCGGAAAUAACAAACAACAACUCCGGAAAAUCCCCAUAUGCAAAUUAUGGAUUUGGUACUGUUCUGCUCUAAACACAAUUUUAUUGUUUUUAAACAGGAAAAUAAAGUGGACUAUGUUAAUCUAGGUAUUUUUCCACCCCAAAUACAUAUAAAGUUUAUUAAAUUCCGAGCUACGGUUAUUUAGUUAUGAAAUAAAGCAUUUUAGCAUGGCAUUUAAGCAAAUUAACACAAACAGCAUUUUAAACAUGGAUGAAAAUGGCAUAUUAUUAAUCUACACGGUUUUCUGAGCAUUUUACAUAUAAAGUUUGUUUAAAUCCGAUGCACGGUUAAUUAGUUAUUACAUGCAUGAACAUGAGGGGGUUUUCUGUAAAACAGUAAAACCUGGGAUAAUUGCUAAAAUCGCAGCAGCAGAAAAAAACAUGACACUGGCCGAAUCCACUGGCCCAACAUGCACAGGACAGAGGGGCUCCCAGGAGGCUCACCACUAGGCCGAGCCCAGGUCGGUGGAGAGGCAAGGCAGGCCGGCUGGCUGGGCUGCGCGUGGAGAUGGACCGAGGCGAGGCGUGCUGGGCCUUGGCGCUGGCGGGUUUGGGGGAGCUGGGUCGGUGGAAGGAGGCAGGCCGACGCAGCGGCUCGAGUCAACGCGGGCGAGCAGAGGCGAUGGCUGCGCGCGUCUUCUCCUGCUCGAUGCAGGAGCAGGGGAGGCCGGCGAUGACGCGAAGACCGGCGAGGGCUCCGGCGAGGUGGCCUUGGUAGGGACCUGCCAGAACGGGACUGGGACGGCGGGAUCCAGCAGAUCUGGGCGCGGAGAUGGAGCUCCAGCAGCGCGAGGGAAUGAUGUGCAAGUAGGCGAGGGGCGGCGAGCUCGACCAGAUCUAGCGCUCGGUCGUUGGUCUUGGCUUGGAGGUGCUCACGACGGAACGGAGGUCGGCGGCGCUUGGCGUCAGGAGGUGCGGCGGAAGGCCAGGAACAGGUGAGCGAAAGCUCGAUGCAGGGGAACUGGGCGCUGCGCUUCGGUUGUUCGUCUCCCUCGCAGAUGAGGACGAUGGCAGGAGGUCGCGAGGGACUGCGGCUGCGAACGUCGGUGCUCCGGAGCUUGUCGGUGGCGGCGGAACGACGAUGGGGCCGAGAAGAGGGAGCAUACAGGAGGGGCUCCAGAAGAAACUCCCCUUCGGGAGAGCGAGGAUGAUUUCCUCUCCUUGGAUCGUGUGCGCUAGGCAGAACAGGAGGGGAUCGAGCGCUGCUCAUGGUUGGUUGGAUUUUGGUGGGGAUUGGCAGGCGCUGAAAAUUAGGAGGGAGGGGACUGGCUGCGGGUGGAAUUGGAUCGGGAGGAUCCCGAGGUGGAAGAGGACUGGCGGCGGCGGCUGGGGGAUGGGACAAGGCUCCUAAUUUUUAGGGUAGGGUUGGUCUAUAUAUAGGAACAAUAGGAUUAGGUUUGGACCCUCCAAUCAAAAUCGGACGGUUCUGGAUAAAUAGGUUAGGGGGCCCAAUUAAGAAAACGGAGAUGUUAAAUAGAUGUUAGGGGAUGAGCCGGACCCAACGGUAACGACUGCUCGGGUCGGGUUCGGGGGAGUUUCGGACACGCACGUGAGGGGUUCGAUGCACUGUGCAGAGAGGGUUUCGGACCGUGCGGUCGUAUCGGACAACUCCGGAAGCGAAGAGGGGAAGGAGGAUGGACUAGGUGGGCUGUGGUGAGACUGCGAGGGGGAGAAGAGAGAGGAAGGGCCCGGCAUCUGUUUCCGGAGACCGAAAACGUCCGACGAAGGUACUGGCAAUGGUGCCGCUACGGAUGAGGGUUGGGCUAUCAAAUGGACUCCGAAUGCGAUGAAACUUGGCAGACGGCCUGUCUACACUAUAAUAAGACCGCACGACAAGUUGCAUCCCAUUCCGAGAACAUUUUUAUGCCACUUAUAAAAUAAUAUUGCGGAGGUGCCACGGGCGCGUGCGAGUGUGUCUGGGCUCGGAACGGACAACGAAGAGAACCGGCGGAACCAGAACGGAUGCAAGUUUUAUGAAAACGAUGUCGAUGCAAUGCACAUGAUGCCAUGAGAUGAGAUGCAUAACAAGAAUAAAAUGCAAAACAACAGACAAAAACCCAACCACGGGGGAAAUAACAUAUCGCAUCUCUGGAAAAGGCAAGAGUUGGAGUUACGAAUAUGGAAAGUUGUAUCCGGGGCGUUACAACACUCCACCACUACGAGAGGAUCUCGUCCCGAGAUCUAGGAUGGCACUGGAGGGAAAAGGAAGAGGAAGAUAAGCGGUAAAACUAAGUUGCUUCUUCGACCAAUGAGUGAAACCAAAGAACCUUGAGAGGUUGAGAAUUAUGAAAGAAAAAAAAACAACGAAGAUGAAGAAGAUUGCAAACAAUCUUUUAGAAAAAAGGAACAAGGAACAUUACGAGAACUUGAAGGUUGCAAAGACAUGAAUGACGAGCAAAAUGGACAAGAAGGAAUUGAAACCACUCUGGUUGAAAAGAGAGGCAAAACUUGAGAAGAUGAAAGAACUUGAAGGGAUGACACAACACUCUGGUUAAAUGGAGAAGCAAGGAGAAGAAAAUGCCAACUUCUACCACAAUGAGCUUGGAAAGCAUCCUUGCAAAGAAGAAUUGAACGGAGUUGUUGGAAAAUCAACAACAAAAAGCACAAGCUUGUUGUUGGCUUAUGGUAAACAACUCAAAAUGAUGAGGUGACAACCGGCAACUAAAGGAAACAAUUGCUUGCUUGAGAACAACGAAGAGAUGAAAAACCUCUUUCACAGAGAAGGAUAUGGAGAAAACUUGGAUCAUUGAUAAACACCACAAUAGCAACAUUCCUUAGGGAAGGCUUUAGGUGAAAUCUAUACCCAAGAUAACUCCAACAAAAGAUUGAUGGAUUUAAAAUACCUCAUUCUUGACAACAUGUGAAUCAUGAAACAUGAAGGAAAUUGUCAAGAGUGAUAUAACACCACCACAAAAGAUAAGGUAGAAAUAAUUGCACUUCAGAAUGCAAGAUGAAGAAUACUUGAACUCCUCUGAAAAUAAUCUCGAUGAACACUUUGAGAAGAAAUUAAAUCCUUGAUGAACCAUCAUGUAGAGCCUCCAUGAAGAACUCUGGUAAUGAAAGGAUGAUAGAAAGAAAGAGAAGUUGAAAACACAAGGUGAAGCCUUGCGAUGAUUUAGAUGGAGCUUUGCGAUGAUAUAACCCAGAGAACUUGGAACUCCAGAAAGAAAGAUGAACAAAUGAGAUCAACAUUUUGAUGAACCUCCGGAAUAAGGAAUUAAUCACUUGGAUGAAACAAGAAUAAGAAUUACAUUAUGCCUAUCCUUCACCAAUUUAAAUUGAUGACAAGCAACGGAUUUGGCAUACUACUUAUUCCCAUUGAAAAAAAAGGAUUAAGAGAGAUAUAGCGUAAAUUUGAGAAAGUAUUGAUGGAACCACCGGUGGGAUUUGUAAACAACGGAUGAAUUGAUAUGAUAACAAAGGAAGAGAAAUCUUGAACGAACCACCGUAAGAAUUGAAAAUGAACGAAGAAAGGGGCUGAAUCAUCGAGAAGAAUUAGAAGAACAAAUCUGCUUGAGGGGAUUUAGAUGCAAAAGAACGAAGAGACAACGAGCUGAUAAAAGAACACUUGAACGGAGCACCGGGAUAAUUGGAUAACGGUAGCUGAAAUGUGAGGACGAAGAAUUCUUCUGGAACGAUAGCCUCCGGUGAAAAGAAACGGAAAGACAACUUCUGACAAACUCCGGAUGGUUAAGAAAGAAUAUCUGACAAACUGAAAUGAUUCGAGAGGAUGGCAUGAAGCUAGAAUCACGAAUAUUCAAGAGAACGGACAAGAUUUAAGAGAUUCUCUUCUUCGGUCUUCAAAUGUUGAGAAUGAUGAUGAGAACCACCAUGAAUUGUUGAGAUACUCCGGGAGAAUGAAAAGCGAAGGGGGUUGAGCCAACGAUGAAGAGAAUUUGAAAGCAAUCUUGGAGAAGGCAUGUGACUGAUGGAAUCCAUUCUUACGUCACACCUUGAAAAGAAUUGGGAAUAACUCCGAGGGAAUUAGAAGAGUCAGGUAAGAUCCAGGGAAAAGACCUGUGGGUUAGGGCCCACUAAAAAGAAAACACCAUUGAAUGAUUUAAAAGAGAGAUUGCACCGGUUGAAUUAAAUAGCUUGAAUGAGAUAACAAUCUCCAAAUAGCUUGAACGGAUUAAGAAUGGAAACACAAAUCUUCUGAGAUAUCUUGAGCACUCCAGAACAAAUGAAUAGCAAGAGGUGAGUGAUUGAGAGGUGCACCGGCAUGAGAAAGCAUUUGACACGAGGAAAGGAAUAUGAUCAACACUAAAAGUUUGAAUUAAAACCACCGGAGAGAAUACGAGAAUGAAGAAUGAUGAGCUUGAAACUGUUGAGCAUCUUCACAAGGGAUCACCGGAUCAGAACAUUGAUUGAAAAGAGUGAAGAGACUUCACAUGAAUAAAUGGAAACUUGAUUAAGAAAUCUGAGUCCUUGCAGAAAAAAGGGUGGGAGGGCAGGAAAACAAAGACAACUUGGGGACGGAUGAAACAAACACCGUUGGGAAAACUUAGAAUUGAUCUUGCGGAUGUUGAAAUGAUCGGAUCCACUUGAAGAGAAGCACACCGGUUGGAAAGAAUUGGGAUGACAAUCUCGAUGAUCAAGAAGGAUUACCACUCCCAUAGAAAUAUGAGAACACCGCUUAGGAUAGGUAUGGAAUCAACACUUGACAUUGAAGCAACUCGAAUACCACAACUCAAAACAAAACAAAGGAUUUGGCUUGCAGAAUAAGCCGGAACAAACAUAUGAUAGAGAUUUCGUCUGAAGUUUUCGUGGUGGGGCCCACACGGGCUCGAGUGUACAGCACCAUCAUGUACAAGGCAGUGCACAUGACAUACAAAGUGUCCCUGAACCAGCAUAGCCAAGGGUUCUUUAAGACACAACGAGACCACUGUAAAAACGACCAUGGAAAGGCGGACCACUAGACGUCGAACCCCAAUCUCAUAUCAUGCAUCUGUCGAAAAGAUAUUCUAGGAGCUACUUGAAUUCCCACCUAUAAAACUCCCGAAACUUUUUGGUUAUGCAAUCUGGUGUUGGGGAUACAGGGGAAGCAAUAUAUCUCACCCAAACUAACAAUACCUACAUCCAAGCUGUAUCCAUCCGUCAACACAUAACCAAGAAACCUUCGGAAAUUGUGUACCUCAACCUUCGAAAAGCAUUCGUUAUACGAGUUAUGGCAAUACUCCCGAGCUCGCCCCAGUACUGGGUUAUCGGGGUUAUCUCACCAACAACUGCAUAAAAGAGAUUUUCGAUGUCGGCAAAUCUCAGGUAUUCCAGAACUGCAACGAUAAAAUUGUGACGACAACACCUCGGAGCUCAACUCCCCGGGUCAAAGCCACAUAAAUAGACAGGAGGCACCAAGAACAAUGUUCUCGUCACAAAACCAUCGAAACGAUUCCAAGAUACCCGCGUGAUCCUAAAAAAAAUUUGAGUGAAAUUUGAGUAGAGGAAAGUCAAAACAUCUACGUCAAGAGUCCUCACCAGAGCGACGAAGGGGGCUGAGGAGUAAAAAGAAUCCUACUCUCCGAUAUAUAUAAUCCUAAGACUCAAAAUAUUUUUCUUCUAGACUCAACAACGGCCAACAAUCAAGGGGGCUCCUAAGGUCAGUCGAGGCUCUGAUUACCAACUUGUCACGCCCAAUAUGCGACCCUAUCCAAAAGGAACUCGAAGGUCCCACCAAGGAUAGACCCGCAUAUUGAAACGCUUUUGCAAGGUGGAUAUCAUUACAUCAACAUUACAUAAUAGAUGGGGAUACAUACAUAAGGCAUACAAUGCCACACGAAUACAACAUUACAAUACAUAAGAGCAUCAUCCGUCUACGGAUGAAUCACAAACAGAAACUCAAACGACAUCCACCCUGCUAGCCCAGGCUGCCGACCUGGAACCUAUCCCCUGAUCGAAGAAGCAGAAGAAGAACUCAACGCAAGCAAGCAUCGCUCUCGCGUCAUGAUCA